AUGUAUUAGUUUAAACGACUUGAUCGUGAAACCGCGAACGGCUCAUUAUAACAGCUAUAAUUUACUCGAUCUUGACCAUCCUACACGGAUAACUGAGGUAAUUCUUGAGCUAAUACGUGCACCAGAGCUGUUCCCUAGCGGGAGCAGUGCAUUUAUUAGAGCAAAAACCAAGCGGCUUCGGCCGUUCUUUGCUGACUCAGAAUAACUAAGCUGAUCGCAUGGGCUUGUCCCGGCGACGUGUCUUUCAAGUGUCUGCCUUAUCAACUUUCGAUGGUAGCGUAUGUGACUACCAUGGUGGUGACGGGUAACGGAGGAUAAGGGUUCGACUCCGGAGAAGGGGCCUGAGAAAUGGCCACUACGUCUAAGGAUGGCAGCAGGCGCGCAAAUUACCCACUCUCGGUUCGAGGAGGUAGUGACGAGAAAUAACGAGGCUGUUCUCUACGAGGCCAGCCAUCGGAAUGGGUACAACUCAAACCCUUUAACGAGUAUCAAUGAGAGGGCAAGUCUGGUGCCAGCAGCCGCGGUAAUUCCAGCUCUCAAAAUGCAUAGAAUUAUUGCUGCGGUUAAAAAGCUCGUAGUUGGAUCUGUGCCCGCGGCGUGGUCUGCAUGAAAGUGUAGUACUGCGUUCGUGGGCUUUCUGCCGGUCUUCGUGCUGACGUCUUCACCGACGGCGGUGCGUGGCUGGCGAUUUUACUUUGAGCAAAUCAGAGUGCUCAGCACAGGCGUCUCGCCUGAAUGAUCGUGCAUGGAAUAAUGGAAAAGGAUUUCGGUCCUCUUUUAUUGGUUUUUUGGACUGAGAUAAUGAUUAACAGGGACAAACGGGGGCAUUCGUAUUCCCACGCUAGAGGUGAAAUUCUUGGACCGUGGGAGGACGGACUACAGCGAAAGCAUUUGCCAAGCAUGUCCUCAUUAAUCAAGAACGAAAGUCAGAGGUUCGAAGGCGAUCAGAUACCGCCCUAGUUCUGACCGUAAACGAUGCCAACUAGCGAUCCGCCGGUGGCCCUGAGGCCCUGGUGGGGAGCUUCCCGGAAACGAAAGUCUUCCGGUUCCGGGGGAAGUAUGGUUGCAAAGCUGAAACUUAAAGGAAUUGACGGAAGGGCACCACCAGGAGUGGAGCCUGCGGCUUAAUUUGACUCAACACGGGAAAACUCACCCGGCCCGGACACCGUAAGGAUUGACAGAUUGAUAGCUUUUUCAUGAUUCGGUGGUUGGUGGUGCAUGGCCGUUCUUAGUUCGUGGAGCGAUUUGUCUGGUUUAUUCCGAUAACGAGCGAGACUCUAGCCUGCUAACUAGUGCACGCAUUGCUUCUGUGCACUGCACUUCUUAGAGGGAUUCGCGGUGUUUAGCCGCACGAAAUUGAGCAAUAACAGGUCUGUGAUGCCCUUAGAUGUCCGGGGCUGCACGCGCGCUACACUGGCAAAGGCAGCGUGCUUGUCCAUUCCCGAGAGGGAUUGGUAAACCGGUGAAAAUUUGCCGUGAUUGGGAUCGGAAAUUGCAAUUAUUUUCCGUGAACGAGGAAUUCCAAGUAAGUGCGAGUCAUCAGCUCGCGUUGAUUACGUCCCUGCCCUUUGUACACACCGCCCGACGCUGCCCGGGACUGAGCCAUUUCGAGAAACUCGGGGAUCGCUGGUCGAAGGCCUUUCGGGGCCGACUUCUGGUGAGAACCGAUUUAAUCGCAGUGGCUUGAACCGGGC
RNAcentral lists this ribosomal RNA (1694 nucleotides) under Sphaeronema sp. 1 JH-2014. RNAcentral's name for it is "SSU rRNA". It matches the Rfam family "Eukaryotic small subunit ribosomal RNA". The record is from RNAcentral. Lineage: Eukaryota; Metazoa; Nematoda; Chromadorea; Rhabditida; Sphaeronematidae.